Long non-coding RNA from Rattus norvegicus (Norway rat), 1052 nucleotides. RefSeq lists it as uncharacterized. Lineage: Eukaryota; Metazoa; Chordata; Mammalia; Rodentia; Muridae. The record is from RefSeq and is a predicted model, not a curated record.
GGCAACACCACCAGGGCCUUUCAUCAAAAGCAGGGCCCUGGCACAUCCCUCUGGAGCAGUCUCUGAUGAGUGCUACUGACUUAUCUCCGAGUCACUAUUAGUGACAUUCAGGGCAGGAUGACCUUCCUGUUCGGGGCUGUGCCCAGGUCUCAUCUGCAGGACUCGCCAGCAGCAGGUGUAUUUCAUCUCCUGGCUCCAAGCCUCGGUCUCUGAGAAGAGCCACCCAUACUCCAUCAGUGACAUCACCUGGAACCACCUGGAGAGAGGGGAUCCCCGCCUGCAAAAUGAGACCCUAUCUUCUGCCUGCUUUCAGGUCGGUGCCUGCUGGUAGCAAGCCAUGGGCUGUGGAGCUUCGAUUUCCUCACUGUGUAGCUGAGAGAGACAGUGUGAAGAUUGGACUCAAAUCAUAGGGAAUGCAUAGACUGCCGGGUCUCUCGCUUAGCCUGUUUUCUCCAGCGAGUACAGAAUUGUAUUGAUUGUCAUGUGUUUUCUUGGGACUGGGCACACGGCCAUCCAUUUGUUGAGAUUUGCCAGCAUACAGUCUGGUAAAUGUAGACGCUCUAUAGCAAGGAACUAACAGCAGGUACCUAACCUGCUAAACAUUUUUUUUAAACAUCAUCAUCAUCAUCACCACCACCACCAUCAUCAUUCACAAUGUUUAACUAUGUAGCCCAGGAUAACCUGGAACUUGUGAUGUUCAUAUCUCCAUCUUCAGAAUCCAGGGACUACAGACCCAUCAACAUGCCCUACAAUUGUGGGAAAAUUUAUGAAGGUAACUUUUACCUUUGGAAGUUUCUGGAAAAUAGACAAAUAGAAACCCACAAUGAAAAUGCUACCAUACCAUAAGUCCACAGUUGAAAUUUACAGUUGCUCCUAAGUGCAGUGACUCUUAAUGUUUGUUGGUUCCUUCUUGAGCUUGGCCACAUCUUACCUGUGUGACCUGGAGAGAGUUGCUUAACCUCUAUGUGAUUUCAUGUCUGCGUCUUUAAAAUCAAGUAUAGGAAAUCCUUCCUGGAGUCACUGUGAACAUUAAAUGAGUUUGAAAUAUAAAA